GGCCAGACUCCUACGGGAGGCAGCAGUGGGGAAUAUUGCACAAUGGGGGAAACCCUGAUGCAGCGACGCCGCGUGAGUGAAGAAGUAUUUCGGUAUGUAAAGCUCUAUCAGCAGGGAAGAAAAUGACGGUACCUGACUAAGAAGCCCCGGCUAACUACGUGCCAGCAGCCGCGGUAAUACGUAGGGGGCAAGCGUUAUCCGGAUUUACUGGGUGUAAAGGGAGUGUAGGUGGCAUAACAAGUCAGAAGUGAAAGCCCGGGGCUCAACCGCGGGACUGCUUUUGAAACUGUGUGACUGGAGUGCAGGAGAGGUAAGCGGAAUUCCUGGUGUAGCGGUGAAAUGCGUAGAUAUCAGGAGGAACACCAGUGGCGAAGGCGGCUUACUGGACUGUAACUGACGUUGAGGCUCGAAAGCGUGGGGAGCAAACAGGAUUAGAUACCCCUGUA
Molecule: ribosomal RNA, 446 nt
Filed under: uncultured bacterium
Lineage: Bacteria
Description: bacterial SSU rRNA
Rfam family: Bacterial small subunit ribosomal RNA
Source: RNAcentral